UCUCUGGUGGUGUAACGGUAGCACAGAGGUUUUUGGUGCCUUUAGUUGGAGUUCGAAUCUCUACUGGAGAA
Molecule: transfer RNA, 71 nt
Filed under: Aphanizomenon flos-aquae WA102
Lineage: Bacteria; Bacillati; Cyanobacteriota; Cyanophyceae; Nostocales; Aphanizomenonaceae
Description: tRNA-Gln
Rfam family: tRNA
About the family: Transfer RNA (tRNA) molecules are approximately 80 nucleotides in length. Their secondary structure includes four short double-helical elements and three loops (D, anti-codon, and T loops).
Source: RNAcentral